Molecule: RNA transcript, 5273 nt
Organism: Mirounga angustirostris (Northern elephant seal)
Lineage: Eukaryota; Metazoa; Chordata; Mammalia; Carnivora; Phocidae
Gene: CDKL2
Gene name: cyclin dependent kinase like 2
Exons: 15
Source: RefSeq, a predicted model, not a curated record
UAAAUAUCUGCUGUUCCAGGACAUUCUCUUAAUUGGAUCAAGGUGUUCUAGAGCCCAAAUACGAUUAUAAAACGUUUAGUCUUCAUGAUUUCUUUUUAUAAAGAUUUAUAUAAUCUCUACACUCAACGAGGGGCUCAAACUCAGGACCCCGAGAUCAAGAGUCGCAUGCUCCCCGGACUGAGCCAGCCAGGCUCCCAUACUCUUCGUGAUACAAUGUGAAAAUAAGUACUUGAGUGCUUAAGGCCUUUCACUGGAGGGGUAUGGCUUAAACCCCAAACUACUUGAAGAUGAGGAAAUCCCUGUUUCUUAUGUGACUCAAGCCUUUGCGUCAUUCUGAUCUACCAGUCUUGCCUGGUCAUGGAUCUAGCCUUAAGCCAUGGUCUGUACCUUUAACAUCUCACCCCCAACUGCACCCUAUUUGGCUGCCACAGGCCGGUAUCGCACAUCUCUUCUAGUUCCUCUGAUGGCCUAGCCCUUCUCUUAUUUCAUUCAUGUUCUUUCUCCCUCUUCCAUUAUCUCCACUUAAAGUGUGUCCCUCGCUUUCAGUGCCCAGGCUGUCCUCCUCGAGGUCCCUCCUAAUGUCACUUGUGUUGUCACCUACUUGCUUUCACCUUGCCUCACCUACUAAUCAUCACUUCCUAGGCUGUCACCCUCAUCACCUACCUGGCCCAGCCUGGCCCCACUGCCCCGACUGGAAAGGAAGCAUCGAAUCGCGGUCAGGGGGAACCCUCCCGGGUGGGGGCGCCAGGGGCGGGUCUUGCUCACCGCCCCCGCAGGGAAGCUGCGAGGAAUGCUUCAUCGCCCUCUGUGCCUGUUUUCCCCCUUCUGUUUUCUCCCAAUCCCACAAAACCACCACCCUCUUAUUCUCUCCGUGAGCGCCGGAAUCGCCUCUUGCUCUCAGUUGCGAGGAAAGGUCUCCCGGCAAAGGCAGAAAGGUGCCGCUCUACUUGAGAAUUGAAGUAUAAAGUGGGUGCUGGUGUCUGCGCAUCAGUGCACAGAACCUGGGCCAAGCCCUAGGUGAAGGGGCAGGGCGGUUGGCGCUGAGCCAAUCGUAGCUCGUGACGACAGGGCCCAGCCAAUCAGAACGCGGGAGGCUUGGGGCCCUCAGGGCGGGGCCGGACGGGUGGGAACCCGCCCCCUUGCAGCUAGCUCGGUGGCCAACGCCUUCGCCCAGGGUUUGCUGGAGACAAGCAGGUUCACAGACUCCAGGGACUGGGCACCUUGAGAGCUGGGAGACGGUGCCCUCCCACCCAACUAAUUUCUUUACAGGCCUUGGCCUUAACAGGCGUGUUGGUGCCUGCCGUGGACGCAUUCUGACCUGCGCUGUAUCCCUCUCGGGAGACUGUGCCGAUGGUUGGGGCAGAGUGAGGUCGUUGCCUUGACGACGGCAGCAUGCGGCCCGCGGACCCCCUGAGUGUGAGCCUGCGGCAGGCCGAGGCCAAUCUGCCUCCCUGCCUGAUUCGCCCCGGUCCGGUGACUGUGUCUCCAGGAGAAAUCAGACCAGCUCCGGAAUUGCUAGUUUGCUAAUCAGCAUCUUGUAGACCUGCGAGCGAGAUGCAUUUCAUCUCAAAUUUGUUUCCAAGUUGAAAACCUUUGGGUCUUUCCAUGUGAAAGGAUUUUAAAGAAACACAAGAAUUCCUACUGGUUUUGAAUUAAAAUGGAAAAAUAUGAGAACCUAGGAUUGGUUGGAGAAGGGAGCUAUGGAAUGGUGAUGAAGUGUAGGAAUAAAGAUAGUGGAAGAAUUGUGGCCAUCAAGAAGUUCUUAGAAAGUGAUGAUGACAAAAUGGUUAAAAAAAUUGCUAUGCGAGAAAUCAAGUUACUAAAGCAACUGAGGCAUGAAAAUCUGGUGAAUCUGUUGGAAGUGUGUAAGAAAAAAAAACGAUGGUACCUAGUCUUUGAAUUUGUUGACCAUACAAUUCUUGAUGACUUGGAGCUCUUUCCCAAUGGAUUAGACUACCAACUGGUUCAAAAGUAUUUGUUUCAGAUUAUUAAUGGAAUUGGAUUUUGUCACAGUCACAAUAUCAUACACAGAGAUAUAAAGCCAGAGAAUAUAUUAGUCUCCCAGUCUGGCGUUGUCAAGUUGUGUGAUUUUGGAUUUGCGCGAACAUUGGCAGCCCCUGGGGAAGUUUAUACUGAUUAUGUGGCAACCCGAUGGUACAGAGCUCCAGAACUAUUGGUUGGUGAUGUCAAGUAUGGCAAGGCUGUUGAUGUGUGGGCCAUUGGUUGUCUGGUGACUGAAAUGCUCAUGGGGGAACCCCUUUUUCCUGGAGAUUCUGAUAUUGAUCAGCUAUAUCAUAUUAUGAUGUGUUUAGGUAAUCUAAUUCCAAGACAUCAGGAGCUGUUUUAUAAAAAUCCUGUGUUUGCUGGAGUAAGGUUGCCGGAAAUCAAGGAAACAGAACCUCUUGAAAGACGCUAUCCCAAGCUCUCUGAAGUUGUGAUAGAUUUAGCAAAGAAAUGCUUACAUAUUGACCCAGACAAAAGACCCUUCUGUGCUGAGCUCCUCCAUCAUGAUUUCUUUCAUAUGGAUGGAUUUGCUGAGAGAUUUUCUCAGGAAUUACAAUUGAAAGUACAGAAAGAUGCCAGAAAUAUUUCUUUAUCUAAAAAAUCCCAAAACAGAAAGAAGGAAAAGGAAAAAGAUGAUUCCUUAUGUGAAGAGAGAAAAACACUUGUGGUACAGGAUACCAAUGCUGAUCCCAAAAUUAAGGAUUCUAAAGUAUUUAAAAUAAAAGGGUCAAAAAUGGAUGGAGAAAAGGUUGAAAAAGUCAGUCGAGCUUCAAAUACGAGCUGUCUCCCUGACAAUGGGAUGAGCCACCUCAGAACGGUGCCUCCUACCAACCUCCGAGAUUGCAGCGAUGGCAGUGUGGACCACUCUAGAAGUCCGGGCGUGGCAAUCCCUCGCCUUGCGCACAGCCUUGCUGGGGUGGCUCCCGGUAUUAAUUCUGGAAUGGUGACUAUCCCAGGAGUUCCGAGUUACAGAGUGGAUGAGAAAACCAAGAAGUAUUGUAUUCCAUUUGUUAAACCAAAUAAACAUUCUCCAUCAGGCAUUUAUAAUAUUAAUGUGACCUCAUCAGUCACUAGUGAAAAGAGCCUACUUGAGGCAAAUAAGAAAAGAAGGGAAUACUCUAAGACAGAUGUCCGUUUGCCUGAACUAAACUAUAAUCAUCUCCCUGAACUAAGAGCCUUGGAAGGCAUAGCUCGAAAUUCCAGGUUAAUAAGGAAAGAGAACAAAAAUCUUUCAGAAUCUCGAAUUCCUUCUCUGGCCACUAUUGACUUGCACACGCCCAGUAUUGCAUUACAUCAGAAUACUUGUGUUUCUGCUGCUUCAACAACAGUCGUAUCACCCAUUUUCACAUUAAGAAAACAGGCAGACUUUUAAGUUUCCUGAGCCAACCAUAACUAGUUGUAAACGUUGGAUAUGCAUCAUCGCACUUACAGAUUUCUCACCUCUCCUUGACGCUGGACAACUUUUGUUUUGGAAUUUAAUUCUGCAUCCUCGUUAUUGAAGCAUUUCUGUUCCCUAGAAAGCACCUGUAUCAGGAUCUCCCCUGUCAGAUGAUUCGGAGGCUGAUUUGCGUCGAAUGGAACACCAGCACUGAGAAUCAUUUUGGUUCUGAACUGGAUGCUGCUUUAGCCCUUGAGAUGACAUCGUCUUGCCACAAAAGUGCUGAUAUCCUACAAAGAGAGAUUCGUGGGUUUGUCCUUUACUUCGGAACUGCCUGCAUUUUCUGAGAAAGGCCUUGCAGAAGAAAAAAGACAAAGACUUCCAAGUGUUUCCCAGGAAGCCCCUCCCCGACUGAUAUCCUGUCACCUUUCAAGUCCACUGUUGCUAUUUCAAGAUAUAUCCGAUGGAAGAAUAGUGAUAUGGUUCUUGUUACAUGAAUGUGUAUUUACUAUUAGUAGAUUGUGCAUUUAAAAUUACCCAAGAUUAAAAAUGAGUUUAAAAAGGGACAAAGAAACAUUAUAAUGGUCAUGUUAUAUGAACUUUCUGUGUUAUCUGUAUAAACGUGUACAUUUAUUUAGGAAUGGGUUUGGUGGAGGAGGUGAUAACAACUAGGAUCUGUUGAAGAAAUGAAAAAAUUAGGAUCAGUAAGAGAAAAUGUUUCCUUUACCCUAAUUUAACUAUAAAUAUACAUUUAAAAAGCUUGCUUGUUUCUAGGCUUUAAGGAGAUAUGUAAUUGCUCUCUAUAGAUAGACAUAUGUCUUUGGUUUCUGUGAUUAUUGUUGAUGUUUGAUCAUUAUAUUAUGGGAAUCUGACCUCUCUGCUGAUUUUCUAAGAACCACACUGAUGCAAAUUUCUCAAAGAAACCUUUUAUGUCUAAUGAUUUAGUGUGACUCUGACCUUAGAUAGUCUUCUUUAUUGUAAGAUUCUGGUGCCAGUGUUCCUGCAUGCAGGAACAGGAUUGAACUAAGAAUGGUAAAGGAGAAUUUUGUAGGUAAUCUUUCGAGUUGAGGACUAUGCUUGUCAUUGAGAAAGGAAGUAUAUACAUACAGAAUUAGGAGAUGGGAAGCUGGCUUACCGACUGACUUGGACUGAUUACUUUUCUCUUGGCCAAUUACUGUUGAACUCCACUCUGAAGAGGCUUUGGGAAGGAAAUGUCCUCUGUUAUGGACUUCACUCCUGUCUGCUGAUAGUUUGAAGGUGAUAGCAGACAGCACCCAGAGGGGUUCCCGUCUUCUCGUUUCCUCAAACCCUUAGGCCUUCCCGAAAGUUCUUCAUCAACAGGCAAAACUGUCUACCUACAGUCCACACAUCUUUUCUCGUGCCCCAGUCCACGACUUUCAGGUGGGAAGCUUAAGCCAGUUUGGCUCUAGGUUUUUGAUUUCUAGUGUGCUGGUCAUACUUGGCAUUUAUUGUUUUAGAGAAUGGUUGUUAAGGGGACCAGAAUUUGUGUGGGAUUUUUGCCUUAACCAGUUGACAAUGUGUUGUUUUUUUCCAAAAGGCACUGAUUAGUACUUAGCCCAAGAAUUUAACUAGCACUUUUCUCUCUUACUCUGCGGAGCUUAAUAUUGAAAUUCUGACUUUAGAUACUUGGUCCUCAGAAGAGCAGGACAUUCAGGAGGAGGCCAAUUGAGGGAUUCCAAAGUAGAAGUCUAUAGGUGGUUCAAUUAAAAUUCGGUCUUGAUUUUGAAGCUCUAUUUUUAACCUCUGACCAGGUGUUUGACUAGAUUGGUAUGACUAACAUGGUAGACAAAAUUAAUGUGUAGGCAUGAAUAGGCUUCACACUGAGAUAUUGUUUUAUUUUUACUUUAAAAAGUAUUGCCAACAGACUGUA